GGUUAGGGUGUCUGGUGGAGAGGGGUAGCUCUCUGUCUAAGAGGAGCUCAGAUGUUGCUGGCGAGCCUUCUACCGUUGGGUGCCUUGGGCGCUAGUACUGCAGGCGAAGGUCAUCUGCUGUAGAAGCUCGGUCAGGGGCUUUCUGUGGAUGGAGUUCGAUUUCAUGCAGAAUCCGACAGAAGGUCGACCGACAGUGGAUGUCGGAUGGUGCUGGAGAGGUUCACCUGCUGGAGGGGUCCGGCUGCUGGAGCCCGUGUGUCGUAGGAGUUCGUCUGGAAUCUGUCCGCUACAGAAUUUCGAUCGGAGUCUAGUUCUCGUAGAAGUCUGGAUGGGGAUCAUUUGUUGAGGAAGCUCGGUCGAGCCUGCCUACAAUAGCAGUUCGGAAGGAAUUCGUUCACAAUAGAAGCUCAGGUGGAGGCUUACAAUAGAAAUCCGACGUGGACUGCUCGUAGUAGAAAUUCGAAGUAGACUGCUUGUAGUGGUAGCUCGGAGU
RNAcentral lists this long non-coding RNA (493 nucleotides) under Elaeis guineensis (African oil palm). RNAcentral describes it as "long non-coding RNA (EGUI_LNC059429)". The record is from RNAcentral. Lineage: Eukaryota; Viridiplantae; Streptophyta; Magnoliopsida; Arecales; Arecaceae.